Molecule: long non-coding RNA, 504 nt
Organism: Gossypium raimondii (Peruvian cotton)
Lineage: Eukaryota; Viridiplantae; Streptophyta; Magnoliopsida; Malvales; Malvaceae
Exons: 3
Source: RefSeq, a predicted model, not a curated record
UUGGAAUUCGUAAGACAUUUUCCAUUCCCUUCUCUACACUCUCGAUAGCAGUGGUUCUCUCUUCCUCUCUGUCCAUCAGCCUCUGCCGCUCCUCCUCAUCUCUGUUCGUUGUCCUCGUCAUCUCUGUCGGUCGACCCUCGUCAAGUCUGUAUUUUAAAGAAACCUUAAAAAAUUAGCAGCCACAAGUUGCUAAAAAAUUACAACCUGAAUCGUCACCUCUUCUCGCGAUUCAUCGAAGGAGAAACUGUUUCAAAGGAUUUUGAGGCAGCAAGAGGAAGGAUCACGGGUUACAACAACUGAUAUAGUUUCAUAUUUGCAGAUAUCUUCUGUGAUUUCUUGCUCUUAUUAUUUUUGAUGAAUUUGCUUAGCUAAUGGUAGUUCUUUUACUUUAGCACCAUUCUUAUACUUAAUUUAUAUCCUUUAUAUUAAACUUAAUGCUUCAACCAACAGUGUGUUUCUGCACCACUCGGGUGAUUUCAACUGUAGUGUCCAAACAGUUAAGCA